ACGUUAAUCGGGGCAGGGUGAGUCGACCCCUAAGGCGAGGCCGAAAGGCGUAGUCGAUGGGAAACAGGUUAAUAUUCCUGUACUUGGUGUUACUGCGAAGGGGGGACGGAGAAGGCUAUGUUAGCCGGGCGACGGUUGUCCCGGUUUAAGCAUGUAGGCUGAUUGUCCAGGCAAAUCCGGAUAAUCAAGGCUGAGGUGUGAUGACGAGGCACUACGGUGCUGAAGUAACAAAUGCCCUGCUUCCAGGAAAAGCCUCUAAGCAUCAGGUAACAUUAAAUCGUACCCCAAACCGACACAGGUGGUCAGGUAGAGAAUACCAAGGCGCUUGAGAGAACUCGGGUGAAGGAACUAGGCAAAAUGGUGCCGUAACUUCGGGAGAAGGCACGCUGGUGUGUAGGUGAAGUCCCUGCGGAUGGAGCUGAGACCAGUCGAAGAUACCAGCUGGCUGCAACUGUUUAUUAAAAACACAGCACUGUGCAAACACGAAAGUGGACGUAUACGGUGUGACGCCUGCCCGGUGCCGGAAGGUUAAUUGAUGGGGUUAUCCGUAAGGAGAAGCUCUUGAUCGAAGCCCCGGUAAACGGCGGCCGUAACUAUAACGGUCCUAAGGUAGCGAAAUUCCUUGUCGGGUAAGUUCCGACCUGCACGAAUGGCGUAAUGAUGGCCAGGCUGUCUCCACCCGAGACUCAGUGAAAUUGAACUCGCUGUGAAGAUGCAGUGUACCCGCGGCAAGACGGAAAGACCCCGUGAACCUUUACUAUAGCUUGACACUGAACAUUGAGCCUUGAUGUGUAGGAUAGGUGGGAGGCUUUGAAGCGUGGACGCCAGUCUGCGUGGAGCCAACCUUGAAAUACCACCCUUUAAUGUUUGAUGUUCUAACGUUGGCCCCUUACCGGGGUUGCGGACAGUGUCUGGUGGGUAGUUUGACUGGGGCGGUCUCCUCCCAAAGCGUAACGGAGGAGCACGAAGGUUAGCUAAUCCUGGUCGGACAUCAGGAGGUUAGUGCAAUGGCAUAAGCUAGCUUGACUGCGAGCGUGACGGCGCGAGCAGGUGCGAAAGCAGGUCAUAGUGAUCCGGUGGUUCUGAAUGGAAGGGCCAUCGCUCAACGGAUAAAAGGUACUCCGGGGAUAACAGGCUGAUACCGCCCAAGAGUUCAUAUCGACGGCGGUGUUUGGCACCUCGAUGUCGGCUCAUCACAUCCUGGGGCUGAAGUAGGUCCCAAGGGUAUGGCUGUUCGCCAUUUAAAGUGGUACGCGAGCUGGGUUUAGAACGUCGUGAGACAGUUCGGUCCCUAUCUGCCGUGGGCGCUGGAGAAUUGAGGGGGGCUGCUCCUAGUACGAGAGGACCGGAGUGGACGCAUCACUGGUGUUCGGGUUGUCAUGCCAAUGGCACUGCCCGGUAGCUAAAUGCGGAAGAGAUAAGUGCUGAAAGCAUCUAAGCACGAAACUUGCCCCGAGAUGAGUUCUCCCUGAGACUUUAAGUCUCCUGAAGGAACGUUGAAGACGACGACGUUGAUAGGCCGGGUGUGUAAGCGCAGCGAUGCGUUGAGCUAACCGGUACUAAUGAACCGUGAGGCUUAACCUU
This 1584-nucleotide ribosomal RNA is filed under the name Klebsiella pneumoniae. RNAcentral describes it as "bacterial LSU rRNA". It matches the Rfam family "Bacterial large subunit ribosomal RNA", at positions 1362 to 2925 of the family's 2925-position model. The record is from RNAcentral. Lineage: Bacteria; Pseudomonadati; Pseudomonadota; Gammaproteobacteria; Enterobacterales; Enterobacteriaceae.